This 30-nucleotide non-coding RNA is filed under the name Homo sapiens (human). Lineage: Eukaryota; Metazoa; Chordata; Mammalia; Primates; Hominidae. The record is from RNAcentral.
AGGGUGGGAAGUCUUGGGAAAAGCCUACAA